Molecule: non-coding RNA, 95 nt
Filed under: Melghirimyces profundicolus
Lineage: Bacteria; Bacillati; Bacillota; Bacilli; Caryophanales; Thermoactinomycetaceae
Source: RNAcentral
GAGAGCCGGAUGCGAUUAAUGUCGCACGUCCGGUUCGGUGGGGUGCCGUCGGAAAAGGGCCUGAUCACGGGCACCUCGCUGGCGGCCUACCCAAC